GCUGUCGCAAUUGCCACGAGUAAUCGAUAAAAAAAUCCCUACAAAACACUUAAUCAAAGCCGCCUAACAACUGGCGUCUCCUCCCACCUUGUACGAGCUUAGAAACGCCACGCUGAAAGAUUAUACAGCACAUUAAAAGGCACACCCUGUUUCAACGGAACGUACCCAGAUAUCGAGCAAAGAUUACCGGUUGCGUCGAUUCAAUGUUUCUUUUUCACUGGGAACGAUUCCACAAGCGAGCGGACGAUCAACCGUGGCUACGAUAAUUCGAAAAUUGAACAGCAGUUCUCUUAUCUGUCGCGCAUUGCGUUUGCCGAGCAACGAGUUUCCAUAAUUUUCGAUAACCAUGGGCCGAUAAGCUACCGAGGAUCCAUCGUUCGUGCUAUCUAUCGCUACUAUCUAAUAUGAGAUGGCAACGCGAGGCGAAAAGGGGCGGAAAAAUCAGGAAUAAACCGACGUGGUGAAAUUACGGCGUAGCAGCCGGUGGAACGCUGACGCUGUUAUCCUUCGCUGUUUACUCGAUGAAAAUCGUGAGAUGCCUCGCCUCCGCUACCUGGAAAUACCUCGC
This 568-nucleotide unclassified non-coding RNA is filed under the name Bombus terrestris (buff-tailed bumblebee). RNAcentral's name for it is "misc RNA ENSBTSG00005019805.1". Lineage: Eukaryota; Metazoa; Arthropoda; Insecta; Hymenoptera; Apidae. The record is from RNAcentral.